RNAcentral lists this ribosomal RNA (465 nucleotides) under Vreelandella stevensii. RNAcentral's name for it is "partial 16S ribosomal RNA". It matches the Rfam family "Bacterial small subunit ribosomal RNA", at positions 338 to 795 of the family's 1533-position model. The record is from RNAcentral. Lineage: Bacteria; Pseudomonadati; Pseudomonadota; Gammaproteobacteria; Oceanospirillales; Halomonadaceae.
CCUACGGGGGGCUGCAGUGGGGAAUAUUGGACAAUGGGGGGAACCCUGAUCCAGCCAUGCCGCGUGUGUGAAGAAGGCCCUCGGGUUGUAAAGCACUUUCAGUGAGGAAGAACGCCUGGUGGUUAAUACCCAUCAGGAAAGACAUCACUCACAGAAGAAGCACCGGCUAACUCCGUGCCAGCAGCCGCGGUAAUACGGAGGGUGCGAGCGUUAAUCGGAAUUACUGGGCGUAAAGCGCGCGUAGGUGGCUUGAUAAGCCGGUUGUGAAAGCCCCGGGCUCAACCUGGGAACGGCAUCCGGAACUGUCAAGCUAGAGGGCAGGAGAGGAAGGUAGAAUUCCCGGUGUAGCGGUGAAAUGCGUAGAGAUCGGGAGGAAUACCAGUGGCGAAGGCGGCCUUCUGGACUGACACUGACACUGAGGUGCGAAAGCGUGGGUAGCAAACAGGAUUAGAUACCCUUGUAGUC